UUUGGUUGGACCGUAGUCCUCAUCGUGGCCGCAGCACUGAAGGCGAUGGCCACCCAGGAGGCUAAAAAGUUUGUCCGGAACAUACGUGGAGGGUGGCGGGGAACGGCGAUCCGCGCACUCGAGGAGGCGACCGUUUACCACAUCGGGGACGUAGCCUUAAGCGCGCUCCCCGUUGUCGACGCGGACAACCACCCGACGGCCCAUGGAGCGCUGCUCCUCAUUUAUGUUGCAUGCGCCACCCAAGUGGCCAUAAACAAGGCCGCUGCACUGAAGGCAGUGGCAUCUAAGGUACGUGUUUUCACUAUAAGCAUCUGUGCGCAAUUUUGUGAUGGAUUAGGGGACAUGUGUGAAGAAAAAUAUUUCCAUACGGAGGAAAACGACUGGUCAUCUCAAUAUCACGAAGCAUGUUAAAAAGCAUACUUUUCUUGUUCUUUAUGCGGUUUACGAUUAUGCACUUGCAGCUGGGCUAGUUCUCAGAGUGGAGGUGGAGGCGCGCACAACGGACACACUACGUCAGUUGUUUGAAAAAAAGAAACUAAUUGUCAGUCUGCACUCGUAUCAUGCACUUCGUUUUGUCCUUCGUCCAGGUUGCGCUGUACACCCAUAGGAAUGUGUUCAGUCACCAACUCGCCCGGCUUGCUGUGUUAAUACAAUCUUCAACCUGAAUAUGUCAAGCUUACUGUUGUGUUAGUAUUGUUUUACAACACUUGGUCGAAUUUGCACAGGAAUAGAAUUCAAUAUUUUCAUUAUUACCUCUGUAAAUUACGUGGUAAUAAAUACAUGGUGAUGGUAUUUAUUUUUCUGCACUGCCUUUCUUUUUGGCGCAUUGGUCAGACCUGCCGCAUGAAACUUGCUCUCUACACCAAUGUUUUGCGUGGUUUUCUAUUUAAUAAGUCUCUUCGCGGUUGCGCCGCCAACAGUCUCAAAGUGCCUUUCGUACGGCCACAGCACUUUUGGAUGGACUUCCAUGCUGCUCGUGGCCGCUGCACUCAAGGCUAUUGCUACCCGGGAUCUGAAGAAGUAGGUGAAAAGCAGAUGUGGGCGGAUGUUGUCGACGAUGCACGAACUCGAAACAGCGAAGUACUACCACAUCUGGGACCUGGCCCUGAGCGCGCUCCCCGUGGUAGAUGCCGACAACUACCUGACUGGCCAUGGUGUAUUGUUGCUGGUUUACGUGGUAUGCUCCAGCCACGUGGUCUUUACGAAGGCCACUGCACUGAAAGCAGUGGCAUCUAAGAUUGCGGUCGUGGCGCCUACGGUAUCCAAAUGUAUUUCUUACUGCCAUGGCAGUUUUGGUUGGACCGUAGUCCUCAUCGUGGCCGCAGCACUGAAGGCGAUGGCCACCCAGGAGGCUAAAAAGUUUGUCCGGAACAUACGUGGAGGGUGGCGGGGAACGGCGAUCCGCGCACUCGAGGAGGCGACCGUUUACCACAUCGGGGACGUAGCCUUAAGCGCGCUCCCCGUUGUCGACGCAGACAACCACCCGACGGCCCAUGGAGCGCUGCUCCUCAUUUAUGUUGCAUGCGCCACCCAAGUGGCCAUAAACAAGGCCGCUGCACUGAAGGCAGUGGCAUCUAAGAUUGCGGUUGCGCCGCCUACGGUAUCCAAAUGUAUUUCUUACUGCCAUGGCAGUUUUGGUUGGACCGUAGUCCUCAUCGUGGCCGCAGCACUGAAGGCGAUGGCCACCCAGGAGGCUAAAAAGUUUGUCCGGAACAUACGUGGAGGGUGGCGGGGAACGGCGAUCCGCGCACUCGAGGAGGCGACCGUUUACCACAUCGGGGACGUAGCCUUAAGCGCGCUCCCCGUUGUCGACGCGGACAACCACCCGACGGCCCAUGGAGCGCUGCUCCUCAUUUAUGUUGCAUGCGCCACCCAAGUGGCCAUAAACAAGGCCGCUGCACUGAAGGCAGUGGCAUCUAAGCACUUUUGGAUGGACUUCCAUGCUGCUCGUGGCCGCUGCACUCAAGGCUAUUGCUACCCGGGAUCUGAAGAAGUAGGUGAAAAGCAGAUGUGGGCGGAUGUUGUCGACGAUGCACGAACUCGAAACAGCGAAGUACUACCACAUCUGGGACCUGGCCCUGAGCGCGCUCCCCGUGGUAGAUGCCGACAACUACCUGACUGGCCAUGGUGUAUUGUUGCUGGUUUACGUGGUAUGCUCCAGCCACGUGGUCUUUACGAAGGCCACUGCACUGAAAGCAGUGGCAUCUAAGAUUGCGGUCGUGGCGCCUACGGUAUCCAAAUGUAUUUCUUACUGCCAUGGCAGUUUUGGUUGGACCGUAGUCCUCAUCGUGGCCGCAGCACUGAAGGCGAUGGCCACCCAGGAGGCUAAAAAGUUUGUCCGGAACAUACGUGGAGGGUGGCGGGGAACGGCGAUCCGCGCACUCGAGGAGGCGACCGUUUACCACAUCGGGGACGUAGCCUUAAGCGCGCUCCCCGUUGUCGACGCAGACAACCACCCGACGGCCCAUGGAGCGCUGCUCCUCAUUUAUGUUGCAUGCGCCACCCAAGUGGCCAUAAACAAGGCCGCUGCACUGAAGGCAGUGGCAUCUAAGAUUGCGGUUGCGCCGCCUACGGUAUCCAAAUGUAUUUCUUACUGCCAUGGCAGUUUUGGUUGGACCGUAGUCCUCAUCGUGGCCGCAGCACUGAAGGCGAUGGCCACCCAGGAGGCUAAAAAGUUUGUCCGGAACAUACGUGGAGGGUGGCGGGGAACGGCGAUCCGCGCACUCGAGGAGGCGACCGUUUACCACAUCGGGGACGUAGCCUUAAGCGCGCUCCCCGUUGUCGACGCGGACAACCACCCGACGGCCCAUGGAGCGCUGCUCCUCAUUUAUGUUGCAUGCGCCACCCAAGUGGCCAUAAACAAGGCCGCUGCACUGAAGGCAGUGGCAUCUAAGGUACGUGUUUUCACUAUAAGCAUCUGUGCGCAAUUUUGUGAUGGAUUAGGGGACAUGUGUGAAGAAAAAUAUUUCCAUACGGAGGAAAACGACUGGUCAUCUCAAUAUCACGAAGCAUGUUAAAAAGCAUACUUUUCUUGUUCUUUAUGCGGUUUACGAUUAUGCACUUGCAGCUGGGCUAGUUCUCAGAGUGGAGGUGGAGGCGCGCACAACGGACACACUACGUCAGUUGUUUGAAAAAAAGAAACUAAUUGUCAGUCUACACUCGUAUCAUGCACUUCGUUUUGUCCUUCGUCCAGGUUGCGCUGUACACCCAUAGGAAUGUGUUCAGUCACCAACUCGCCCGGCUUGCUGUGUUAAUACAAUCUUCAACCUGAAUAUGUCAAGCUUACUGUUGUGUUAGUAUUGUUUUACAACACUUGGUCGAAUUUGCACAGGAAUAGAAUUCAAUAUUUUCAUUAUUACCUCUGUAAAUUACGUGGUAAUAAAUACAUGGUGAUGGUAUUUAUUUUUCUGCACUGCCUUUCUUUUUGGCGCAUUGGUCAGACCUGCCGCAUGAAACUUGCUCUCUACACCAAUGUUUUGCGUGGUUUUCUAUUUAAUAAGUCUCUUAAUUCCUUUACUAUUUACGUUUUUCUUGGUUCUCGUUCCCAGAUUGCGGUCGCGCCGCCUACGGUAUCCAAAUGUAUUUCUUACUGCCAUGGCAGUUUUGGUUGGACCGUAGUCCUCAUCGUGGCCGCAGCACUGAAGGCGAUGGCCACCCAGGAGGCUAAAAAGUUUGUCCGGAACAUACGUGGAGGGUGGCGGGGAACGGCGAUCCGCGCACUCGAGGAGGCGACCGUUUACCACAUCGGGGACGUAGCCUUAAGCGCGCUCCCCGUUGUCGACGCGGACAACCACCCGACGGCCCAUGGAGCGCUGCUCCUCAUUUAUGUUGCAUGCGCCACCCAAGUGGCCAUAAACAAGGCCGCUGCACUGAAGGCAGUGGCAUCUAAGGUACGUGUUUUCACUAUAAGCAUCUGUGCGCAAUUUUGUGAUGGAUUAGGGGACAUGUGUGAAGAAAAAUAUUUCCAUACGGAGGAAAACGACUGGUCAUCUCAAUAUCACGAAGCAUGUUAAAAAGCAUACUUUUCUUGUUCUUUAUGCGGUUUACGAUUAUGCACUUGCAGCUGGGCUAGUUCUCAGAGUGGAGGUGGAGGCGCGCACAACGGACACACUACGUGUCAUGACGCAAUUCGCUCCUAUUUUGACAAAGUUUUCUUCACCUCUUUUCUUUUUUGGCGACUUUAAGUUUCCUAAUAUAGUUUGGAACAAUAAUCUGCCUGACUUAUUUUACUUUUUUAUUCAAAAGAAUUCUUGGAUAUUUCUACUUCAUUUUCUUGAACUCGAUUAGCUACGCAAGGCACAAAAAUCACCCCCAAUGCUUUAAACAUUCUCGAUUUCAUCUUAACCAAUCUUCCCGAUUAUGCCUGUUUCAUCCAUUACUUAUCCAGCAUUAUCGACCAUCUAAUACUAAAUAUUCACUCUAAUACUCCAUUUCCGCAACUUCCAAAUAGUAAAAGAAUCCUUUUAUCAGGAAGGCACUAUAUUUUCAAUGCCUAAUGGAUCUUCAACCCUUGAUUGUGGUGUGAUGUUUGGUGUAUGCUGUCAUGUAUGCUGUCAUAGUGCAUGCGACCCGUUACGGUGGAGUAGCUCUAUUUAUCAGGAAGGCGCUAUAUUUUCAAUGCCUAAUGGGCAUCUCGAGCACUCAACAACCUGCUGAAACACCUUUUCCAACCCUUGUUUCUGGUGUGAUGUUUGGUGUAGUAUACCGCCCCCAACACUCUUGCGUUGAUGAUUUUAUAUCCGUCAUGGAAAACACAAUGGUUGCUUGUGUAGCCUCACAUUCUCAAAUAAUCAUCUGUGGUGAUUUUAACAUUGACCUUUCGAAAAACCAAUGUCAUGAUUGUGUUCUUUUUGCAGUCUUUCAAUCCUAGAAAUUUAUAUCCAAACACACACGUUUCUUGGAAUGUUCUGUGACACUUGAUUCGACACAAAUGUGGAAGGUGGAGCCUAUGAUUUGGCCAUUUCUGAUCACUGCCUGGCUUUUCUUGCCACGAUCAUACUUGCACCCUGCUCAAAAGUAGAUGCUGAGAAAUUGCAUACGCGUAAACUAUUCGCAAGUACGUACCCUGUAUGUACCCUGCAGAAAUUAACCUUGUUCGAAGCACUGUGCAAAAUGUUCGCAGCACUGUAUAAUUUACAGCAUCACCAAUGCAAUUAAAAAUAAGACCACGCCAUGCGUCCUUGGAUAACUGAGGCUAUGGUUGCACUGCCAAAAAAAAAGACUAUUGCUACAAAACAAAACAAGUGAUUAUUAUAAGGCCCAAUCACAAGCAGUUGCAGGAUACAGUGAUAAAAUAAUCUAUUUGUACUUUGCUAUCAGGAGCUGGCGACGAGAUUCCCAGAUAAUGGCGGCGAACGCCGACAAGGUCACAUUUGCGGGCGUACCGGCACUUUGCCGCCGGCUUCUUUUACGGAGGGAGAACAGACUGGGUGGAGAUUUGCGAGGCAGGACGUGACGGAGCCACAGGGGAUCAGGAGCUCGCAACGAGAUUCCCAGGUAAUGGCGGCGAACGCCGACAAGGUCACAUGAGCCUGCAUAUCGGCACUUUGCCGCCGGCUUUUUCUACGGAGGGAGCACAGACCGGGUGGAGAUUUAGGAGGCAGGACGUGACGGAGCCACAGGGGAUCAGAAGCUGGCGACGAGAUUCCCAGAUAAUGGCGGUGAACGCCGACAAGGUCACAUGAGCGGGCAUGUCGGCACUUUGCCGCCGGCUUUUUCUACGGAGGGAGCACAGACCGGGUGGAGAUUUGCGAGGCAGGACGUGACGGAGCCACAGGGGAUCAGGAGCUGGCAACGAGAUUCCCAGAUAAUGGCGGCGAACGUGCAGGUAUUCGUGCAGGCAUGCAAGUGCCGCUUGUUUCCAUGUGUAGCUUUCUAGUUCCAUUUAUGGAGGUAAAUUAUUGGACAUGCUUUUCUUUCUCCCUCUUUUUUUUCCCCUCAGACGGUGACCCAAUAUGGGUCACAAUAUGGGUCACCGACGGGACGAAGCAGCUCUCCAAACUUUCCUUUUCAGUGCAUGUUGGUGUCUUUCUUUCUUUGCAAUUCCGAGCUACCGUGUUCAUAGUUGGUUUGCUCUUGUUUUUCGGUUAAAUGGCCACGCACCCUGAGCUGCACAAAGGCCGCCGUCUUUCUACUCGAAUGCCUAGUGGCGAAAAGUGAAUCGAGCUUCCUUCAAAGCUCUCCAUAGGCCUUGGCAUCCGAGUGACCCAGACAGCGCCCGAAUGCCUUGCGACAUUCAGAAACGAGAGCCGUCGGCAAAGCUUCAUGUGCUUCAAUCUCAAAUCGCGGAAAUGCGAACCAAACCAUUCCUUUGAUUCCAUAUGGCUAAUUCUGUGUGCAUGGGCAUAGCAAGACAUUUGAACUGUCGCCUAUAAGUAGCUAAAGGAGAAAUAAAUGGGAAAAGUUGUAUUAGCAGUUCGACAGAGUAUAUUUUUAUUUUCUAGAAGGUUUACAAGCGCGAAAACGGAGCAACAAUUGAAUUCACCGAUGAAACCCGCAGCUCAAGCGCUAGGAGGAAAGUGGAGGAAAAGAGUAUGGCCAAAGGGUGAGAAGGAAGGGGGAGUGCCACGGGAGGCAUGCUCCGUGGCGGCGAAUCAGUGUGCAUGCGCUAGAGAAUGCUACCGCUGCUGCUAAACAAGCGGCACGAGCAGAAGCUCAGCAUCCGCCAUGGAGAGAGCGUCCUGCUGUUCUGACCAAAUUCAAUAAUUAAGCUGCGCAUAAAUUUCGCAUUAGGGGGUAUGAUAAUCAUAGGUGAAUUUUUUAUACAUUAACUUCUUCAUAGCAUUUCAUCUUACGUGAUGGACGGGUUUUCUUGUUGGGUAGGAAUAGCAAUGCUUAUUGAUAUGGAGACGGAUUGCUGCCAUAAUUACAGCCCAGCUACUCCGACGACGUCCCUAGAUUUGUACUUGAAAUUUUGCCAACAUUCGCAAUUGAGUGUAGAUUGUGCAUUCCUGUACAAUGGCGCGUCAACUCGGCAAAAUUACAGGAUCAAGGCGAACAAGAUCGCCUUUAGGAGGUACUGAAGCAUAACCUCACUUUUGAUGAAAUAAUCCAGGCAUCUUAAUUCACUACAUGUUGCAUUCGAUAUGACUGUAGUAGCUUCUGUGAUUUUCCUAAAAGUACAAACGCAAUGUUGAAUCACGCACUCUCUUGUUCUUUCUUUGCAGGUGGUAGCAGGACACUACCAAAUCACCAGAAGAAAUGUGAAUGCAGCCAUGGACCAAAUGAAGGACCUUGGCAGUUACAAUCUGUUGAGCAACAACUGCCAAGACUUUGUUCGAAAACUUCUAGCAAAAUUAAAGAUAAAGUUCCCGUCAGAACUAGUAACGGCCAGGAUCCUGGCCGCGGAGUUCGCCGUGAGCGUGGCAGCCCAAACAACUGGUGUUAAAUUUUUAAAAUAAAAGUCUGAUACGACCUCUUGGGCUCUGGCGUCGUCCUCGGUCCGCUGUUGCUUUACUCAAGCUGACUGGGCCUAGUACAAUAACUGAGUGAAAUCAUUAGCGAUGCAGAGGUAAAAAAGCAUGGCGCAAACAUGAAAAUGUACCAUUAUUUGAGUGUAAUAACCGCAGCAUAAAGAAAAAUUUGGCCAACUGCUGAUUUACCUGUCACAAUGUUGGUUUAAGUACGACAUCAUUGCAAUAACGGAAACAUAGGUAAGAAAAGAUAAUCACAGUAAUAUAUCUGAAUACGUAUUACUGUCACAGUGCAUGCGACACGUUGCGGUGGAGUAGCUCUGUUUAUCAGGAAGGCGCUAUAUUUUCAAUGCCUAAUGGACAUCUCCAGCACUCAACGACCUGCUGAAAAACACUUUUUCACUUUUGCAACCCUUGAUUGUCACGUCAUGUUUGGUGCAUACCACCCCCAACACUCAUGCGUUGAUUUUAUAUCUGCAAUGAAAAAUUCAAUGGUUCCAAUAGUGUGUGUGGUUAUUUUAAUAUUCAUCUAUCAAAAGAACAAUGUCACGAUUACGUGUUCCUUUUGCAGUCCUUAAAUUCUGGAAAAGCUGGAGUUUACGAUUUCGCCAUUGCUGAUCACUGCCCCACUUUUCUUGCCACGAUUAUACUUGCAUCCUGCUCAAAACUAGAGCCUGACAUAUCGCAUGCGAGUUAACCAUUUGCAAAUAUGUACCCUUGUGAAAUGCACCUUGUUGGAAGCACUGUAUAAUGACGAUGUUCAAGUAAAAUGUGAAAAAAUUAUUCGCAGCAUCACCGAUGCAAUUGGACAGUUAUACGUGCACAGAACAUAAAUAUGACCAUGCCAUAUGUCCUUGGAUAACUCUGGCUAUUCUUGCACUGCUGAAGAAGAGACUACUACUACUACAACCACUAGUACAAUAAGCUGGAACAACACAUAUGACUAAAGCUAUUUACGUAUUA
Molecule: non-coding RNA, 8375 nt
Organism: Dermacentor albipictus
Lineage: Eukaryota; Metazoa; Arthropoda; Arachnida; Ixodida; Ixodidae
Source: RefSeq, a predicted model, not a curated record